UAGGGAAUCUUCGGCAAUGGGGGCAACCCUGACCGAGCAACGCCGCGUGAGUGAAGAAGGUUUUCGGAUCGUAAAGCUCUGUUGUAAGUCAAGAACGGGUGUGAGAGUGGAAAGUUCACACUGUGACGGUAGCUUACCAGAAAGGGACGGCUAACUACGUGCCAGCAGCCGCGGUAAUACUAGGUCCCGAGCGUUGUCCGGAUUUAUUGGGCGUAAAGC
RNAcentral lists this ribosomal RNA (219 nucleotides) under uncultured bacterium. RNAcentral's name for it is "partial 16S ribosomal RNA". It matches the Rfam family "Bacterial small subunit ribosomal RNA", at positions 355 to 566 of the family's 1533-position model. The record is from RNAcentral.